GAAUUGCUGUCGCUGCAGUGACUUGGGCGCUGAGGGGAGCCCGCACUCCUUGCAAGAUCUCCGAGCCCCGGCGGCUGCUACUGGGACCCCCAAGCCCUGGCUGCAGCCAGGAGAGCUCAAAGUGUCUCCUCACUGCAUAGCAGAUGGGGCAGGACAUGCUGGAGUCAACCUGCUCCAAAGCAGCUGUGGUGGAGAGGAUUGUGCACAAUGAAACCUGACCUGGACACAGAGCUGGAGACUCACCUCCUGUGAGCUGUCCUGCAUGGUGUCUUCACCAUGGGCAUGGAGAAGGACACCACCCACAUCCAGCCCAGCUUCCAUCCAUAGCAGCUUGGCUUUCCACACCGUGCUGCCUACGAGGUCCUCCGUAGAGACCUGUUAAGGCAUGGAUUGAAGAACCAGCUGUCGUCCUGCCAUGAACCCUUGCUAAUUGCCUUCAGUGGGACGUGAAUGAGAGCAGCCAGAAUAUGUGUUUGAGGUCUCACCAGUGCUUCACAGAGGACCAUCUUACCAUCCUG
Long non-coding RNA from Trachemys scripta elegans, 518 nucleotides. RefSeq lists it as uncharacterized. The transcript is spliced from 4 exons. NCBI's taxonomy places the organism in Eukaryota, Metazoa, Chordata, Testudines, Emydidae. The record is from RefSeq and is a predicted model, not a curated record.